CCUACGGGGGGCAGCAGUGAGGAAUAUUGGUCAAUGGACGAGAGUCUGAACCAGCCAAGUAGCGUGAAGGAUGACUGCCCUAUGGGUUGUAAACUUCUUUUAUAUGGGAAUAAAAUGUUCCACGUGUGGGAUUUUGUAUGUACCAUAUGCAUAAGGAUCGGCUAACUCCGUGCCAGCAGCCGCGGUAAUACGGAGGAUCCGAGGGUUAUCCGGAUUUAUUGGGGUUAAAGGGAGCGUAGGUGGAUUGUUAAGUCAGUUGUGAAAUUUUGCGGCUCAACCGUAAAAUUGCAGUUGAAACUGGCAGUCUUGAGUACAGUAGAGGUGGGCGGAAUUCGUGGUGUAGCGGUGAAAUGCGUAGAUAUCACGAAGAACUCCGAUUGCGAAGGCAGCUCACUGGACUGCAACUGACACUGAGGCUCGAAAGUGUGGGUAUCAAACAGGAUUAGAUACCCCAGUAGUC
This 460-nucleotide ribosomal RNA is filed under the name uncultured bacterium. Its description in RNAcentral is "partial 16S ribosomal RNA". It matches the Rfam family "Bacterial small subunit ribosomal RNA", at positions 338 to 795 of the family's 1533-position model. The record is from RNAcentral.